RNAcentral lists this ribosomal RNA (393 nucleotides) under uncultured bacterium. RNAcentral describes it as "partial 16S ribosomal RNA". It matches the Rfam family "Bacterial small subunit ribosomal RNA", at positions 523 to 918 of the family's 1533-position model. The record is from RNAcentral.
AUACGGAGGAUGCAAGCGUUAUCCGGAUUUAUUGGGUUUAAAGGGUGCGUAGGCGGGACUGUAAGUCAGGGGUGAAAUACUGCAGCUUAACUGUAGCAUUGCCUUUGAAACUGCCGUUCUUGAGUACAGUUGAGGGAGGCGGAAUGUGGUGUGUAGCGGUGAAAUGCAUAGAUAUACCACAGAACGCCGAUUGCGAAGGCAGCUUACCAAGCUGUUACUGACGCUGAGGCACGAAAGCGUGGGGAUCAAACAGGAUUAGAUACCCUGGUAGUCCACGCUGUAAACGAUGAUUACUGGUUGUUAGCGAUAUAUAGCUAGUGACUGAGCGAAAGCAUUAAGUAAUCCACCUGGGGAGUACGUCGGCAACGAUGAAACUCAAAGGAAUUGACGGGG